GUGUCAGCAGCCGCGGUAAUACGGGGGGAGCGAACGUUGUUCGGAAUCACUGGGCGUAAAGGGCGUGUAGGCGGUUCGGUAAGUGGAAUGUGAAAUCCCCCGGCUUACCCGGGGAACUGCAUCCCAUACUGCUGGACUUGAGUGCGGGAGAGGAUGGAGGAAUUCCUGGUGUAGCGGUGAAAUGCGUAGAUAUCAGGAGGAACACCUGUGGCGAAGGCGUCCAUCUGGCCCGUUACUGACGCUGAGGCGCGAAAGCUAGGGGAGCAAACGGGAUUAGAUACCCCCGUAGUCC
RNAcentral lists this ribosomal RNA (292 nucleotides) under uncultured bacterium. RNAcentral's name for it is "partial 16S ribosomal RNA". It matches the Rfam family "Bacterial small subunit ribosomal RNA", at positions 505 to 796 of the family's 1533-position model. The record is from RNAcentral.